CGGGGAAUAUUGGACAAUGGGCGCAAGCCUGAUCCAGCCAUGCCGCGUGAGUGAUGAAGGCCCUAGGGUCGUAAAGCUCUUUCACCGGUGAAGAUAAUGACGGUAACCGGAGAAGAAGCCCCGGCUAACUUCGUGCCAGCAGCCGCGGUAAUACGAAGGGGGCUAGCGUUGUUCGGAUUUACUGGGCGUAAAGCGCACGUAGGCGGACUAUUAAGUCAGGGGUGAAAUCCCGGGGCUCAACCCCGGAACUGCCUUUGAUACUGGUAGUCUUGAGUUCGAGAGAGGUGAGUGGGAUUCCGGGUGUAGAGGUGAAAUUCGUAGAUAUUCGGAGGAACACCAGUGGCGAAGGCGGCUCACUGGCUCGAUACUGACGAUGAGGUGCGAAAGCGGGGGGAGCAAACAGG
Molecule: ribosomal RNA, 404 nt
Filed under: Actinomycetes bacterium
Lineage: Bacteria; Bacillati; Actinomycetota; Actinomycetes
Description: Actinobacteria bacterium partial 16S ribosomal RNA
Rfam family: Bacterial small subunit ribosomal RNA
Source: RNAcentral